RNAcentral lists this transfer RNA (53 nucleotides) under Oxyrrhis marina. RNAcentral describes it as "partial tRNA". Lineage: Eukaryota; Dinophyceae; Oxyrrhinales; Oxyrrhinaceae. The record is from RNAcentral.
AGUGGCCUAGUGGUGAAGGCGACUGCCUGGUUUGCCGGGGGACGUGGGUUCGA